This 622-nucleotide ribosomal RNA is filed under the name Brevundimonas terrae. RNAcentral describes it as "bacterial SSU rRNA". It matches the Rfam family "Bacterial small subunit ribosomal RNA", at positions 37 to 704 of the family's 1533-position model. The record is from RNAcentral. Lineage: Bacteria; Pseudomonadati; Pseudomonadota; Alphaproteobacteria; Caulobacterales; Caulobacteraceae.
UGGCGGCAGGCCUAACACAUGUCAAGUCGAACGGACCCUUCGGGGUUAGUGGCGGACGGGUGAGUAACACGUGGGAACGUGCCUUUAGGUUCGGAAUAGCUCCUGGAAACGGGUGGUAAUGCCGAAUGUGCCCUUCGGGGGAAAGAUUUAUCGCCUUUAGAGCGGCCCGCGUCUGAUUAGCUAGUUGGUAAGGUAAAAGCUUACCAAGGCGACGAUCAGUAGCUGGUCUGAGAGGAUGAUCAGCCACAUUGGGACUGAGACACGGCCCAAACUCCUACGGGAGGCAGCAGUGGGGAAUCUUGCGCAAUGGGCGAAAGCCUGACGCAGCCAUGCCGCGUGAAUGAUGAAGGUCUUAGGAUUGUAAAAUUCUUUCACCGGGGACGAUAAUGACGGUACCCGGAGAAGAAGCCCCGGCUAACUUCGUGCCAGCAGCCGCGGUAAUACGAAGGGGGCUAGCGUUGCUCGGAAUUACUGGGCGUAAAGGGCGCGUAGGCGGAUCGUUAAGUCAGAGGUGAAAUCCCGGAGCUCAUCUUCGGAAUUGCCUUUGAUACUGGCGAUCUUGAGUGUGAGAGAGGUAUGUGGAACUCCGAGUGUAGAGGUGAAAUUCGUAGAUAUUCGGAAG